GGCAAGAUGGCCGAGUUGGUUAUGGCGUAGGAUCAGGGUUCCUAUGGAGCAAUCCGCGUGGGCUCAAGUCCCACUCUUGUCA
RNAcentral lists this transfer RNA (82 nucleotides) under Gaeumannomyces tritici R3-111a-1. RNAcentral's name for it is "tRNA-Pro (AGG) (tRNA-Pro-AGG-2-1)". It matches the Rfam family "tRNA". From Rfam's summary of the family: Transfer RNA (tRNA) molecules are approximately 80 nucleotides in length. Their secondary structure includes four short double-helical elements and three loops (D, anti-codon, and T loops). The record is from RNAcentral. Lineage: Eukaryota; Fungi; Ascomycota; Sordariomycetes; Magnaporthales; Magnaporthaceae.